AGGAUAUUAGUUAACUUGAUAACAUUUAAUUUGCAAUUAAAAAUCAUAAACCCAAAAUAUAUAUCUUA
RNAcentral lists this transfer RNA (68 nucleotides) under Pheidole nodus. RNAcentral's name for it is "tRNA-Ala". The record is from RNAcentral. Lineage: Eukaryota; Metazoa; Arthropoda; Insecta; Hymenoptera; Formicidae.